GACGAACGCUGGCGGCGUGCUCAACACAUGCAAGUCGAACGAAGAGCGAUGGAAGCUUGCUUCUAUCAAUCUUAGUGGCGAACGGGUGAGUAACGCGUAAUCAACCUGCCCUUCAGAGGGGGACAACAGUUGGAAACGACUGCUAAUACCGCAUACGAUCUAAUCUCGGCAUCGAGGAUAGAUGAAAGGUGGCCUCUACAUGUAAGCUAUCACUGAAGGAGGGGAUUGCGUCUGAUUAGCUAGUUGGAGGGGUAACGGCCCACCAAGGCGAUGAUCAGUAGCCGGUCUGAGAGGAUGAACGGCCACAUUGGGACUGAGACACGGCCCAGACUCCUACGGGAGGCAGCAGUGGGGAAUCUUCCGCAAUGGACGAAAGUCUGACGGAGCAACGCCGCGUGAGUGAUGACGGCCUUCGGGUUGUAAAGCUCUGUUAAUCGGGACGAAAGGCCUUCUUGCGAAUAGUGAGAAGGAUUGACGGUACCGGAAUAGAAAGCCACGGCUAACUACGUG
RNAcentral lists this ribosomal RNA (510 nucleotides) under uncultured bacterium. RNAcentral's name for it is "partial 16S ribosomal RNA". It matches the Rfam family "Bacterial small subunit ribosomal RNA", at positions 28 to 507 of the family's 1533-position model. The record is from RNAcentral.